Molecule: ribosomal RNA, 460 nt
Filed under: uncultured bacterium
Lineage: Bacteria
Description: partial 16S ribosomal RNA
Rfam family: Bacterial small subunit ribosomal RNA
Source: RNAcentral
CCUACGGGUGGCAGCAGUGAGGAAUAUUGGUCAAUGGACGCAAGUCUGAACCAGCCAUGCCGCGUGUAGGAAGACGGCUCUAUGAGUUGUAAACUGCUUUUGUACGGGGGUAAACGCAGAUACGCGUAUCUGUCUGAAAGUCUCGUACGAAUAAGGAUCGGCUAACUCCGUGCCAGCAGCCGCGGUAAUACGGAGGAUUCAAGCGUUAUCCGGAUUUAUUGGGUUUAAGGGGUGCGUAGGCGGUCGGAUAAGUUAGAGGUGAAAGCCCGAGGCUCAACUUCGGAAUUGCCUCGGAUACUGGUCGACUAGAGAGUAGGUGCGGUAGGCGGAAUGUAUGGUGUAGCGGUGAAAUGCGUAGAUAUCAUGAAGAACACCGAGCGCGAAGGCAAGUGUCCGGGGUGAAACUGACGUUGAGGCUCGAAAGUGCGGGUAUCAAACAGGAUUAGAUACCCGAGUAGUC